GUCACUGGUUCCCAGCUGCUCCUCCCAUUAUAUUUUCUCACCCCCCCCCCUUAUUGCAGAACUGCUAUAUGCAUACAGGGACAGAAAGGAUCCAAUUUACUGCAACUGCUGCCUGGCUUUUACUUACAACUUUGUUUGAAGGAACUUACCUUCCAUCUGUCUUUGCAAGGUGACAGAUCACUUACUCUGAACAUCUCAUCUUGUCCCAAGGAACAUGAAGCCUACUAGACCUAGGCUUAGGCAAAGCAGACCUGGACUCUUUAGGCAAAUCAUCACAAAAUGAAGACGUUGGCAUCCUAUGCAUUGGAUGGAUCUUUUGUGGAAGAUUUAUAGAAAGACAUGGGCAAGAAUCACAAAGGAUGAGAAGGCAUGGAAGGGUUGUGACCCAAACCAACAAAAUCAAAGAUCUGUUAGAGUAUCAAAGGUAUCCAAAAAUUCGGGAGCCUGAGGUGAGCCAUUUCAGGACAG
RNAcentral lists this long non-coding RNA (468 nucleotides) under Vombatus ursinus (common wombat). RNAcentral's name for it is "lncRNA (ENSVURG00010010597.1)". Lineage: Eukaryota; Metazoa; Chordata; Mammalia; Diprotodontia; Vombatidae. The record is from RNAcentral.